Molecule: small nucleolar RNA, 139 nt
Filed under: Setaria italica (foxtail millet)
Lineage: Eukaryota; Viridiplantae; Streptophyta; Magnoliopsida; Poales; Poaceae
Also listed under: 1 other name
Description: Small nucleolar RNA Z247
Rfam family: Small nucleolar RNA Z247
About the family: Z247 is a member of the C/D class of snoRNA which contain the C (UGAUGA) and D (CUGA) box motifs.
Source: Rfam by way of RNAcentral
ACUAUCAAUGAUGAUGAGGUUGUUGCUCAUAUACUCAAUGGUUUAGAUUUUGACUAUCAUCCCUUUGUUUCUUCUAUGAUGGGUCGUUCAGGAGAUCUCUCGCUUUCGGAACUCUAUUCGCUUCUUAUGGAAUAUGAUC